Molecule: transfer RNA, 68 nt
Filed under: Littorina obtusata
Lineage: Eukaryota; Metazoa; Mollusca; Gastropoda; Littorinimorpha; Littorinidae
Also listed under: 2 other names
Description: tRNA-Tyr
Rfam family: tRNA
About the family: Transfer RNA (tRNA) molecules are approximately 80 nucleotides in length.
Source: RNAcentral
UUGUUUGAUGGCUGAGUUAAAAGCGGUAGACUGUAGAUCUAUUUACGGAAUUAAGUUUCCUCAACAAA